Molecule: ribosomal RNA, 1162 nt
Filed under: uncultured organism
Description: bacterial SSU rRNA
Rfam family: Bacterial small subunit ribosomal RNA
Source: RNAcentral
GUGAGUAACGCGUGAGAAUCUACCUUCUAGAUGGGGACAACCGUUGGAAACGACGGCUAAUCCCCAAUAAGCCGAGAGGUGAAACGGGUAUCCGCUAGAAGAGGAGCUCGCGUCCGAUUAGUUAGUUGGUGGGGUAAGAGCCUACCAAGGCAGCGAUCGGUAGCUGGUCUGAGAGGAUGAGCAGCCACACUGGGACUGAGACACGGCCCAGACUCCUACGGGAGGCAGCAGUGGGGAAUUUUCCGCAAUGGGCGAAAGCCUGACGGAGCAACGCCGCGUGUGGGAAGAAGGCUCUUGGGCUGUCAACCACUUUUCUCAGGGAAGAAGUCCUGACGGUACCUGAGGAAUCAGCCUCGGCUAACUCCGUGCCAGCAGCCGCGGUAAUACGGAGGAGGCAAGCGUUAUCCGGAAUUAUUGGGCGUAAAGCGUCCGCAGGGGGCGCAUCAAGUCUGCUGUUAAAGGUCGGAGCUAAACUCCGGUAGAGCAGUGGAAACUGGUGCGCUAGAGGGCGACAGGGGUAGAGGGAAUUCCCAGUGUAGCGGUGAAAUGCGUAGAGAUUGGGAAGAACACCGGUGGCGAAAGCGCUCUACUGGGUCGCACCUGACCCUCAGGGACGAAAGCUAAGGUAGCGAAAGGGAUUAGAUACCCCUGUAGUCUUAGCCGUAAACGAUGGAUACUAGGCGUGGUUUGUAUCGACCCAAGCCGUGCCGAAGCUAACGCGUUAAGUAUCCCGCCUGGGGAGUACGCAUGCAAGUGUGAAACUCAAAGGAAUUGACGGGGGCCCGCACUAGCGGUGGAGGAUGUGGUUUAAUUCGAUGCAACGCGAAGAACCUUACCAGGGCUUGACAUCCCGAGAAUCUCUCGGAAAGGAGAGAGUGCUUACGGGAACGCGGAGACAGGUGGUGCAUGGCUGUCGUCAGCUCGUGUCGUGAGAUGUUGGGUUAAGUCCCGCAACGAGCGCAACCCUCGUCCUUAGUUGCCAGCAUUAAGUUGGGCACUCUAGGGAGACUGCCGGUGACAAACCGGAGGAAGGUGAGGAUGACGUCAAGUCAGCAUGCCCCUUAUGCUCUGGGCAACACACGUCCUACAAUGGUCGGGACAAAGGGGAGCAAGCUCGCGAGAGUAAGCGAAUCCCAGCAAACUCGGCCUCAGUUCAGAUAGC